UUGUGGCUCUUCUGGCGAUUC
Molecule: microRNA, 21 nt
Filed under: Marchantia polymorpha subsp. ruderalis
Lineage: Eukaryota; Viridiplantae; Streptophyta; Marchantiopsida; Marchantiales; Marchantiaceae
Source: RNAcentral